RNAcentral lists this long non-coding RNA (629 nucleotides) under Capra hircus (goat). RNAcentral's name for it is "lncRNA (ENSCHIG00000004639.1)". Lineage: Eukaryota; Metazoa; Chordata; Mammalia; Artiodactyla; Bovidae. The record is from RNAcentral.
UUCCAGGAAAUUAACCAAAUGUGACAGAAACAGUUAAAAGCAGGAAGCAUGUCCAAUCCAAGUGUUCUCAACCCAGCUCAUUUUCAAAUAAUCAUGACUCUACAAGUGAAAAAGAGAAGCAAGAAGCUGUCUUUGUUUUGUGCAGUCUGGCUUCAGGGACCCUGGAAUACUCCCAAGGAGGCAAAUGGCAUCACUGUGAGGACCAGAAAGCUACUGUAAGCGGGCCUUCAGCACUGGGUGGAGCCCCAGCUUCCUGCAGAGCUGGGCUGCACAAGAGCACACCUUGGAAUGGAUUUCCUCCCUCCCUGACCCGCUGUCAUCACUCUCUCAUUUGUGCAUGGAGAGACAACAUCACAGGUAAAGUGCUCCCACCCGUCUUUGUCUCGGGAACUUCUUUUAGAGAAGAUGUUGACAAACCCAUAACAAGUAGGAAAAGCCAGGGAAAGGAGGCCACUCUCCUGCUCUGUUCCCCACCAGCCUCUUCACCCAAUGAUCCUUCAGGGUCCCUUUCGUCUCCAAGAAGUCACCCAUGCUACCCUGGGCCCUCCCAGCUUUGUCCACCAAAUGCCAAGCUUGGAGAAAACUGUCCUUCCCAAUGCCGGGUUCUUAUAAGCUGUUCAGGGCACUGA